Molecule: long non-coding RNA, 2205 nt
Organism: Leopardus geoffroyi (Geoffroy's cat)
Lineage: Eukaryota; Metazoa; Chordata; Mammalia; Carnivora; Felidae
Exons: 3
Source: RefSeq, a predicted model, not a curated record
ACCAACUUUGUCAGGAGCUCAGAUAACAGCUUUCUCACUCAGGGUACCUAGACUCCUUCAAUUCCUCCUUUAUACGACAGUAAAUCGCCGUCUUGCUCGCUCUUAUUUCUAAAAGUGGGUCAGUCUUCAGUGCUUGCCUUUCAGUUUCUGGGAAAUGUCUACUGUCUUCUAUCCUCUUGUUUAGCAGCUCAGGCCAAAGAGAAUGAAAGAGACAGAGCCUCGCCACUUAGGUCAUCAAAAGAGUAAGCUGGGAUUUUUGUCCUUUGCUCCUUCAGGCUUUGAAACGGAUUUGUAUGGGACCAGGUUUGUACCAGAAAGGCGUCGGCAUAGCUUGUUAUUUAGCUUAUCGGUCGCCGGUUCUAAUAGGCCAUAAACGCAGAUCCAUACGAAUCUUCCCCAUAUUCCUUUAAAAACCCCAAGCCCGUGAUGAUGGCCGGUCUGGACCCCUCUCUGAGGAUCCCGGGGGAGCUUCACUGGCGAUGAAUGCGGGAACCCCGGAACAGAACAAAUCGGUCUCAUAAGCAACAAGUGACAGCCUUUCUGAAUACAGCUGCUUUCUUCAUUAGAAAACUAAAAAUAGCCCCAAUCAUUGCAGGCUGGUUUCACUUUAAGCCUUCUGCCACAUCCACUUGCCUGCUUCAUUCAGGGCUUCUGCGUGGCUAUGACACCGUGAUACUAUUUCAGACGAAAAGUGCAUUGAAGAAACGUUUCCUUUCCCUCCCCCACGUUCACUCCAGAUGUCCUCGACUGUCCACGCUGUUUCAUAUUAGGGGAACUCACGGGAAUCUUCCGGCAUCCCUGCCACCCCCAUCUGCCUCACCCGUUUUUGGAAAAAUAAACACCAUCCACACCGAGAGCAAGAAAUUACCGUUAUUAGGAUUUUUUUUUUCUUCUUCCGUGAAAUGUUCAUUACAUGCGUGAUGUUCUAUGGAUAGCUCAUGGAAUCUUGACUACAACUACCCUUUCCAGCUCAGAUUCAGUUUGUGGAGACAUUUUUUUUUUUUUUUCCUUCUGGAGCUGGCUGACUGCGACCACUGGCAAAGUCAGUUUCCUUUGCAGCUUUAAAAAGUGAUCCGGAAACACAAUGGGGAGGCAGCCUAUGUGAGCAGGGUUUCAGCACCCUCGCUGGUUCUGUUCAGUCCCUGGUUUCGCUGCUUCAACAUAUUGUUUGUCAGUGCCUGUUCCGUACCUGGAACGUGACCCAGUCGGUGUCCUCAUAAGCUCGCAGUCUCGUGCAGGAAUGGAAAAGCCAGCAAGCCCCAGAGCGGUCCAGGGCUUUGCCUAAAGUUCUCAAACCCUCCUACAUGCAAAUAGCUCUAGAAUGAUUCACUCGAAUGAUAGACCACCAUGGAGGUGUCACACAUAUUGGAAAACAGAAGGACAAAGACGGUGACCAUUUCUGAAAAAAUUAAUGGCUACGGAUUUGAAGUUUUGACACACAUCUGGAAAGAGGCCAGAGACAGAGGAAGUAUGCUGGCCAGACUGGAUCAGUGCAUAUGAUCUGUCGGCUGACGCAGAGCCCUGGCCGAAGCAGCUCCCGCACCACACAAGCUCACCUUCGGCCAUCUUCGUAUUGACCAUGACUUGCGUGGAUAUUUUGGCCCCAACGAGAAGACUGGAUGGAUAUCAGGAAGGAGUCGUGGACCUUCACUGAAAAGAGAGCGUUAUUCUCUAAUAAUGAACAUUUGUGGUGGCUUGUAAAUCUUCUGGGAGAUAGAUAACACGGUGUCUAUUAGUAACACGCUUUUGUUUGUUUUAAAUUUUGCGCUGGAAUAUAUUUCCAAGCAUGUCUGGAAGAAUACUAUUAGAGAGGGACUUUACUUUUCAUUAAUAAUUUUAGGAGAAAAAGUUUAUAGUAGGAUUUGUGACCCACAGAUCCCAAAGUGUUGCAUAAAUAACACAGGAAACUGCAAAAUGAUCUUAUGUAAAGUCACUCCACAAGAUGCAUGUUUAAUUAGCACCUACUAAUAAAACAGAUGCAUGUGAAAUUAUUUAGGGUGACAUGUGCUAUUCUGAACAAUACGAUAUCAGCGCAGGAUGCCAAGGGCAAGCAACAUAACCUGUUUUUAAUUGAGCAUUUUAUCACCAAACAGAAUAAGAGACAGCUUGUGUUUUAUAUAUUUCUGUAGUACAUCAUUAUCCAACAAUAAAUGCAAAAAUAAAUUACAAAAAAAAAAAAAAAAAAACAACCCAAACUUCAAGCAG